GAGUUUGAUCCUGGCUCAGGAUAAACGCUGGCGGCGCACAUAAGACAUGCAAGUCGAACGAACGAGAGUGAAUCUUUUAGUUUUGCUCAAGUUAGUGGCGGACUGGUGAGUAACGCGUGAGCAACCUGCCUACGAGAGGGGAAUAACAGUUAGAAAUGACUGCUAAUACCGCAUAAGCUGAAAGAAUCGCAUGAUUAAGUCAGAAAAGGAGCAAUCCGCUUGUAGAUGGGCUCGCGUCCGAUUAGCUAGUUGGUGAGGUAAAGGCUUACCAAGGCGACGAUCGGUAGCCGGACUGAGAGGUUGAACGGCCACAUUGGGACUGAGAUACGGCCCAGACUCCUACGGGGGGCAGCAGUCGGGAAUAUUGCGCAAUGGAGGAAACUCUGACGCAGUGACGCCGCGUAUAGGAAGAAGUUUUUCGGAAUGUAAACUAUUGUCGUUAGGGAAGAGAAAGGACGGUACCUAAGGAGGAAGCCCCGGCUAACUAUGUGCCAGCAGCCGCGGUAAUACAUAGGGGGCGAGCGUUAUCCGGAAUUAUUGGGUGUAAAGGGUGCGUAGACGGGAAAUUAAGUUAGUUGUGAAAUACCUUGGCUCAACUAAGGAACUGCAACUAA
Molecule: ribosomal RNA, 614 nt
Filed under: uncultured bacterium
Lineage: Bacteria
Description: bacterial SSU rRNA
Rfam family: Bacterial small subunit ribosomal RNA
Source: RNAcentral